This 559-nucleotide ribosomal RNA is filed under the name Ogataea sp. HD4-2-1. RNAcentral describes it as "partial 28S ribosomal RNA". It matches the Rfam family "Eukaryotic large subunit ribosomal RNA", at positions 45 to 613 of the family's 3401-position model. The record is from RNAcentral. Lineage: Eukaryota; Fungi; Ascomycota; Pichiomycetes; Pichiales; Pichiaceae.
AAUAAGCGGAGGAAAAGAAACCAACAGGGAUUGCCUUAGUAGCGGCGAGUGAAGCGGCAAGAGCUCAAAUUUGAAAUCUGGUACCUUCGGUGCUCGAGUUGUAAUUUGAAGAAAGCUAUCUUGGAUUUGGCCUUUGUCUAUGUUUCUUGGAACAGGACGUCAUAGAGGGUGAGAAUCCCGUGCGAUGAGGUGUCCAUUUCUAUGUAAGAUGUUUUCGAAGAGUCGAGUUGUUUGGGAAUGCAGCUCUAAGUGGGUGGUAAAUUCCAUCUAAAGCUAAAUAUUGGCGAGAGACCGAUAGCGAACAAGUACAGUGAUGGAAAGAUGAAAAGAACUUUGAAAAGAGAGUGAAAAAGUACGUGAAAUUGUUGAAAGGGAAGGGUAUUAGAUCAGACUUGGUAUUUAGUUAUCAUUGCUCCUUGUGGGUGAUGCUCUAGCUUUUUACUGGGCCAGCAUCAGUUUUGGUGGCAGGAUAAUGACAUAUGAACGUGGCUCCUCGGAGUGUUAUAGCUUUUGUUGAUACUGCCUACCGGGACUGAGGUCUGCGGCUUUUGCCUAGGAU